This 390-nucleotide ribosomal RNA is filed under the name uncultured archaeon. Its description in RNAcentral is "bacterial SSU rRNA". It matches the Rfam family "Archaeal small subunit ribosomal RNA", at positions 85 to 476 of the family's 1478-position model. The record is from RNAcentral.
ACGGCUCAGUAACACGUGGAUAACGUGCCCUUAAGAGGAGGAUAAUCUCGGGAAAUUGAGGAUAAUACUCCAUAGAUCAUGGAAUCUGGAACGAUUCAUGGUUCAAAGUUCCGGCGCUUAAGGAUCGGUCUGCGGCCUAUCAGGUAGUAGUGGGUGUAACGUACCUACUAGCCUAUGACGGGUAUGGGCCUUGAGAGAGGGAGCCCAGAGUUGGAUUCUGAGACACGAAUCCAGGCCCUACGGGGCGCAGCAGUCGCGAAAACUUCACAAUGGGGGCAACCCCGAUGAGGGAAUUCCUAGUGCUAGCACAUUUGUGUUAGCUUUUCUUUAGCUUAGAAAACUAGAGGAAUAAGGGCUGGGUAAGACGGGUGCCAGCAGCCGCGGUAAUAC